This 253-nucleotide ribosomal RNA is filed under the name uncultured bacterium. RNAcentral describes it as "partial 16S ribosomal RNA". It matches the Rfam family "Bacterial small subunit ribosomal RNA", at positions 524 to 776 of the family's 1533-position model. The record is from RNAcentral.
GACAGAGGAGCCAAGCGUUGUCCGGAUUGACUGGGCGUAAAGCGCACGCAGGCGGAUGCGCGCGUGGGGUGUGAAAUCUGGCCGCUUAACGGCCAGGCGCCAUCCCAUACGGCGCGGCUGGAGCCAUGCAGAGGGCGGUGGAAUUGCCGGUGUAGUGGUGAAAUGCGUAGAGAUCGGCAGGAACACCCAGGGGGAAACCAGCCGCCUGGGCAUGCGCUGACGCUGAGGUGCGAGAGCGUGGGGAGCGAACCGG